RNAcentral lists this ribosomal RNA (425 nucleotides) under uncultured Lachnospiraceae bacterium. RNAcentral's name for it is "bacterial SSU rRNA". It matches the Rfam family "Bacterial small subunit ribosomal RNA", at positions 71 to 507 of the family's 1533-position model. Lineage: Bacteria; Bacillati; Bacillota; Clostridia; Lachnospirales; Lachnospiraceae. The record is from RNAcentral.
AGGCGGAAGCAGUCUCGACUGAGCGGGCGGACGGGUGGAGUAACGGACGUGGGCGAACCUGCCUCAGUACAGGGGGAGUAACAGUUAGAAAUGACUGCUAAUACCGCACUAAGACCGCGGUACCGCAUGGUACAGCGGUAAAACUCCGGUGGUAUGAGAUGGGCCCGCGUCUGAUUAGCUAGUUGGCGGGGUAACGGGCCACCCAAGGACGACGAUCAGUAGCCGACCUGAGAGGGUGACCGGCCACAUUGGGGCUGAGACACGGCCCAAACUCCUACGGGAGGCAGCAGUGGGGAAUAUUGCACAAUGGGGGAAACCCUGAUGCAGCGACGCCGCGUGAGCGAUGAAGUAUUUCGGUAUGUAAAGCUCUAUCAGCAGGGAAGAAAAUGACGGUACCUGACUAAGAAGCCCCGGCUAACUACGUG